RNAcentral lists this ribosomal RNA (256 nucleotides) under uncultured bacterium. RNAcentral's name for it is "partial 16S ribosomal RNA". It matches the Rfam family "Bacterial small subunit ribosomal RNA", at positions 524 to 776 of the family's 1533-position model. The record is from RNAcentral.
UACGAAGGGGGGCUAGCGUUGCUCGGAAUGACUGGGCGUAAAGGGCGCGUAGGCGGUGCAUUUCGGUCAGGCGUGAAAUUCCUGGGCUUAACCUGGGGACUGCGCUUGAGACGGGUGUGCUGGAGGGCAGGAGAGGCUCGCGGAAUUCCCAGUGUAGAGGUAGAAAUUCGUAGAUAGUUGGGAAGAACACCGGUGGCGAAGGCGGCAGCUGGCCGUGUACCUGACGCUGAGGCGCGCAGCGUGGGGAGCAAACAGG